Rhipicephalus microplus (southern cattle tick) is the source of this 402-nucleotide long non-coding RNA. NCBI's taxonomy places the organism in Eukaryota, Metazoa, Arthropoda, Arachnida, Ixodida, Ixodidae. The record is from RefSeq and is a predicted model, not a curated record.
AAGUAAACGGGGUAUGGAGGACCACACAGAGCUAUGCAACAUUGCUUCAAGGAAAAGGUGGUGAUCCAAUAAUGCGUCUAAGCUACAGGCCAGGAAAACAUGGCAUUGAUCACCACCUAGUUUUCUGGCAUGCCGUGGAGCACUGCUUUGUUUUCACUCGUGACGUCGAUGGAACAAACCAAUGCGAGAUGUGGGUAUGGGGCGAUCACGUUCGGAAACAUGUGCCCCAGUGUCAGAUGGCAUAUAAGCGGCACUGCCUCGUGCAAUACCCGGUAUACACACAUGCCUGUGGAAAACCCUAAAAAGAAGGAUGCGAAAUGUUAUUUAGUGAAUAUGGCGAUGCUUACAAUUAUGAAUUAUUACUAUAGGAAUUCGCACUGCAUGUUAUAGGAUAAUAUAUUU